AAGUCGUAACAAGGUUUCCGUAGGUGAACCUGCGGAAGGAUCAUUACCUUUCAUCGGGGAGUUGUAGUUCGCUAUAGCUCCUGUCUGAACCCAUGUCUAUUGCGUACUUAUGUUUCCUCGGCGGACUUGUUCCGCCGAUUGGACUCUUCAAAACCUUUUGUAAUUGUAAUCAGCGUCUGAAAAAUAUUUAAUAUUUACAACUUUCAACAACGGAUCUCUUGGUUCUGGC
RNAcentral lists this unclassified non-coding RNA (229 nucleotides) under fungal sp. RNAcentral describes it as "partial internal transcribed spacer region". The stretch from base 1 to 46 matches the Rfam family "Eukaryotic small subunit ribosomal RNA", at positions 1786 to 1831 of the family's 1831-position model. The record is from RNAcentral. Lineage: Eukaryota; Fungi.